GAUGAACGCUGGCGGCGUGCCUAAUACAUGCAAGUCGAGCGAACGGACGAGAAGCUUGCUUCUCUGAUGUUAGCGGCGGACGGGUGAGUAACACGUGGAUAACCUACCUAUAAGACUGGGAUAACUUCGGGGAACCGGAGCUAAUACCGGAUAAUAUUUUGAACCGCAUGGUUCAAAAGUGAAAGACGGUCUUGCUGUCACUUAUAGAUGGAUCCGCGCUGCAUUAGCUAGUUGGUAAGGUAACGGCUUACCAAGGCAACGAUGCAUAGCCGACCUGAGAGGGUGAUCGGCCACACUGGAACUGAGACACGGUCCAGACUCCUACGGGAGGCAGCAGUAGGGAAUCUUCCGCAAUGGGCGAAAGCCUGACGGAGCAACGCCGCGUGAGUGAUGAAGGUCUUCGGAUCGUAAAACUCUGUUAUUAGGGAAGAACAUAUGUGUAAGUAACUGUGCACAUCUUGACGGUACCUAAUCAGAAAGCCACGGCUAACUACGUGCCAGCAGCCGCGGUAAUACGUAGGUGGCAAGCGUUAUCCGGAAUUAUUGGGCGUAAAGCGCGCGUAGGCGGUUUUUUAAGUCUGAUGUGAAAGCCCACGGCUCAACCGUGGAGGGUCAUUGGAAACUGGAAAACUUGAGUGCAGAAGAGGAAAGUGGAAUUCCAUGUGUAGCGGUGAAAUGCGCAGAGAUAUGGAGGAACACCAGUGGCGAAGGCGACUUUCUGGUCUGUAACUGACGCUGAUGUGCGAAAGCGUGGGGAUCAAACAGGAUUAGAUACCCUGGUAGUCCACGCCGUAAACGAUGAGUGCUAAGUGUUAGGGGGUUUCCGCCCCUUAGUGCUGCAGCUAACGCAUUAAGCACUCCGCCUGGGGAGUACGACCGCAAGGUUGAAACUCAAAGGAAUUGACGGGGACCCGCACAAGCGGUGGAGCAUGUGGUUUAAUUCGAAGCAACGCGAAGAACCUUACCAAAUCUUGACAUCCUUUGACAACUCUAGAGAUAGAGCCUUCCCCUUCGGGGGACAAAGUGACAGGUGGUGCAUGGUUGUCGUCAGCUCGUGUCGUGAGAUGUUGGGUUAAGUCCCGCAACGAGCGCAACCCUUAAGCUUAGUUGCCAUCAUUAAGUUGGGCACUCUAAGUUGACUGCCGGUGACAAACCGGAGGAAGGUGGGGAUGACGUCAAAUCAUCAUGCCCCUUAUGAUUUGGGCUACACACGUGCUACAAUGGACAAUACAAAGGGCAGCGAAACCGCGAGGUCAAGCAAAUCCCAUAAAGUUGUUCUCAGUUCGGAUUGUGGUCUGCAACUCGACCACAUGAAGCUGGAAUCGCUAGUAAUCGUAGAUCAGCAUGCUACGGUGAAUACGUUCCCGGGUCU
This 1372-nucleotide ribosomal RNA is filed under the name uncultured bacterium. RNAcentral's name for it is "bacterial SSU rRNA". It matches the Rfam family "Bacterial small subunit ribosomal RNA", at positions 28 to 1381 of the family's 1533-position model. The record is from RNAcentral.